Molecule: ribosomal RNA, 253 nt
Filed under: uncultured bacterium
Lineage: Bacteria
Description: partial 16S ribosomal RNA
Rfam family: Bacterial small subunit ribosomal RNA
Source: RNAcentral
GACGGGGGAUGCAAGUGUUAUCCGGAAUUACUGGGCGUAAAGCGCACGUAGGCGGAUUUGUUAGUCAGGGGUGAAAUCCCGAGGCUCAACCUCGGAACUGCCUUUGAUACUGCAAAUCUCGAGUCCGGAAGAGGUGAGUGGAAUUCCUAGUGUAGAGGUGAAAUUCGUGGAUAUUAGGAAGAACACCAGUGGCGAAGGCGGCUCACUGGUCCGGUACUGACGCUGAGGUGCGAAAGCGUGGGGAGCAAACAGG